GGGUUUCCUGGAGGCCAUCUGCUUGACUGGCUGUCUCUGGACAGUGGAGGUGAGGGCUGGGGUGUGCAGGCUGCUCUGGAUACUGCUGUUGUCCAACCAGGAUCCUCUGACUGUGCUGGACAUUGAACCUGGAAGAGACAGAAGUUGGGUGCGGUCCUGUUGCAGCAGCUUGAAACUGAACUCGCUGAGGAUCUCCAUGAAGGCCACAUUUGGAUGCUGCUCUUCUCCCUCCUGUGGGUCCCGAAACGCAAACCGUAUACCGUCCCUAAAAGACACAACACACACAAUAUCUGUAACACAUAACAAAACCAAUCUAUAACACAGAAUGAACAGAUACAGUUUGAUCAUCACUCUUGAAAGUCAAACAUGAAUAAACUGAGCUAUAACCUGA
Dicentrarchus labrax (European seabass) is the source of this 391-nucleotide long non-coding RNA. RefSeq lists it as uncharacterized. The transcript has 2 exons. The record is from RefSeq and is a predicted model, not a curated record. Lineage: Eukaryota; Metazoa; Chordata; Actinopteri; Moronidae.